This 60-nucleotide ribosomal RNA is filed under the name uncultured bacterium. Its description in RNAcentral is "partial 16S ribosomal RNA". The record is from RNAcentral.
UCCAUGAUCAAACUCUACGGUUAUCUUGUUACGACUUUCCUGAGCCAGGAUAAAACUCUA